This 474-nucleotide long non-coding RNA is filed under the name Panax ginseng (ginseng). Its description in RNAcentral is "long non-coding RNA (PGIN_LNC005434)". Lineage: Eukaryota; Viridiplantae; Streptophyta; Magnoliopsida; Apiales; Araliaceae. The record is from RNAcentral.
AGUGAAUAAAAUGUUGGUAAAUGAUUUAAAGUAUUAUUAGUGAACCAAUAAUACUAGAAGGUGAAUUAAUAUUAUCUAAGUUAAUAAUAUUAUGUGAAUUAAAGGUAGUCGUUAAUAACACUAUCUAGACAUGAUAAUGUUUAUAAGAACUUAUUGUAAUGUAUGAUAUCUAUGUGAUUACAUAAUCUGAUGUUAUGCAAUGACUAAUUGAAAGACUAAUUAUAGGUCUCUCAAAGGAAGAUAAUUUAACUACAUAGUGGAUAGAAAUUUAUUUCGUAGCUGUAACCUACGAUCGAGGCAAGUUUCCUAACUCAACUUGAGUUAUUAUUUUCAAAGCAUAUUAGUGAAUAAUUAUUGAUGAUUAUUCACGUCUUUAUUGAUUAUUGAAAUUCGCACUUUGUGCAAUUGAAUUCCGUUCUACUGCCAUUGAACUGUGAAUUAAAUUAAAGUUCUUCAUUUAUGAACUGUUUAUGG